RNAcentral lists this ribosomal RNA (253 nucleotides) under uncultured bacterium. Its description in RNAcentral is "partial 16S ribosomal RNA". It matches the Rfam family "Bacterial small subunit ribosomal RNA", at positions 524 to 776 of the family's 1533-position model. The record is from RNAcentral.
GACGGAGGAGGCAAGCGUUAUCCGGAAUUAUUGGGCGUAAAGGGUACGUAGGCGGCUGGUCAAGUCUGGGGUCAAAGGCCACAGCUCAACUGUGGGAAGGCCCUGGAAACUGACCGGCUAGAGUGAGGUAGGGGUUGCGGGAAUUCCCGGUGUAGCGGUGAAAUGCGUAGAGAUCGGCAGGAAGACCAAGGGGGAAGCCAGGGGGCUGGCCGCAGGCUGACGCUGAGGUACGAAAGCUAGGGGAGCGAAUGGG